UACGUAGGGGGCAAGCGUUGUCCGGAAUCAUUGGGCGUAAAGAGCGUGUAGGCGGUCCGGUAAGUCGGCUGUGAAAGUCCAGGGCUCAACCCUGGGAUGCCGGUCGAUACUGCCGGACUAGAGUUCGGAAGAGGCGAGUGGAAUUCCCGGUGUAGCGGUGAAAUGCGCAGAUAUCGGGAGGAACACCUAUGGCGAAGGCAGCUCGCUGGGACGUAACUGACGCUGAGACGCGAAAGCGUGGGGAGCAAACAGG
This 253-nucleotide ribosomal RNA is filed under the name uncultured bacterium. Its description in RNAcentral is "partial 16S ribosomal RNA". It matches the Rfam family "Bacterial small subunit ribosomal RNA", at positions 524 to 776 of the family's 1533-position model. The record is from RNAcentral.